GAGUUUGAUCCUGGCUCAGGACGAACGCUGGCGGCGCGCCUAACACAUGCAAGUCGAACGAGAGAGAGGGAGCUUGCUUCCUUGAUCGAGUGGCGAACGGGUGAGUAACGCGUGAGGAACCUGCCUCAAAGAGGGGGACAACAGUUGGAAACGACUGCUAAUACCGCAUAAGCCCACGACCCGGCAUCGGGAAGAGGGAAAAGGAGCAAUCCGCUUUGAGAUGGCCUCGCGUCCGAUUAGCUAGUUGGUGAGGUAACGGCCCACCAAGGCGACGAUCAGUAGCCGGACUGAGAGGUUGAACGGCCACAUUGGGACUGAGAUACGGCCCAGACUCCUACGGGAGGCAGCAGUGGGGAAUAUUGGGCAAUGGGCGCAAGCCUGACCCAGCAACGCCGCGUGAAGGAAGAAGGCUUUCGGGUUGUAAACUUCUUUUGUCGGGGACGAGUAGAAGACGGUACCUGACGAAUAAGCCACGGCUAACUACGUGCCAGCCGCCGCGGUAAUUC
Molecule: ribosomal RNA, 506 nt
Filed under: uncultured bacterium
Lineage: Bacteria
Description: bacterial SSU rRNA
Rfam family: Bacterial small subunit ribosomal RNA
Source: RNAcentral